GAUGAACGCUGGCGGCGUGCCUAAUACAUGCAAGUAGAACGCUGAAGGAGGAGCUUGCUCUUCUGGAUGAGUUGCGAACGGGUGAGUAACGCGUAGGUAACCUGCCUGGUAGCGGGGGAUAACUAUUGGAAACGAUAGCUAAUACCGCAUGACAACAGUUAUUGCAUGAUAACUGUUUAAAAGGUGCAACUGCUCCACUACCAGAUGGACCUGCGUUGUAUUAGCUAGUUGGUGAGGUAACGGAUCACCAAGGCGACGAUACGUAGCCGACCGGAGAGGGGGAGUGGCCGGACUGAGAGGGUGACACGGCCCAGAGGCCUACGGGAGGCAGCAGGAGGGCAUCGUGGGCAAGGGGCGGAAGACUGACCGAGAAGCGCCGCGUGAGGGAGGAACGUUUUCGGAUCGGAGAGGUCGGUUGUCGGAGAAGAACGAGUGUGAGCGUGGAAAGUUCACUCUGUGACGGUAUCUUACCAGAAAGGGACGGCUAACUACGUG
Molecule: ribosomal RNA, 495 nt
Filed under: uncultured bacterium
Lineage: Bacteria
Description: partial 16S ribosomal RNA
Rfam family: Bacterial small subunit ribosomal RNA
Source: RNAcentral